Non-coding RNA from Electrophorus electricus (electric eel), 1073 nucleotides. The record is from the annotation of a RefSeq genome assembly. NCBI's taxonomy places the organism in Eukaryota, Metazoa, Chordata, Actinopteri, Gymnotiformes, Gymnotidae.
UCGUUUUUGAUGUCGAGGGUCCACAGGAAAUUCAGAUCUCAUUGUGUCUCUUCUUAAGAAGUAGCACAGCUGGCAACAUGGUCUUUAUUUGGCUUAUGAUGAUUUUUAGCCUCAAUCAAACUUGUCACACCUACUCGGCGCACCUCAGUCAGCCUGCUUCAGUAGUGGUAGCUAAAUCUGGUGAUAAUGUCACUCUACGGUGCUCGUUCCCAAAAGACUUCAAUAUUUACUCUGUGUUCUGGUACAAGCAAAAACCAGGCAAGCAGCCGUAUCCUGUCGUAACAGCACGGGCAGUCAGUGACCCCAUAUUUCAUGACGAGUUUAACAGCUCACGUUUCAGGGUCAGUAAGUCAGAAAGCAGUCUUUUUCUGCACAUCAGAAAUGUACAUGUCUCGGAUGAAGCGGUUUAUUAUUGUGGAGUACUGAUGUUCUUUGAAAUUACGUUUGGAAAUGGGUCACUUUUGACUGUCGACAGAUUCACUACUAAUGGAGACAAAACAAAUCAUCUUAUUCCAAUUGUCAUCUUCCAGUUUGGAGUAAAAGGCAUCUUAGGGAUAUACAUUACAUAUCUCUGCCUUAGGUCUAUAGGAAAUUAAUGUAUGUAAUUUUUUAUAAUCUGUGUGUUUAAAAUAUUUAAAAUAUGUAGCAUUUUAAAAGUUGUACAUACAUACACACAUAUAAACAUAAACAUGUAUGCAUCUGUCUGUCCUGCACAGAUCGGAUUUGGAUCAAAGAUUUGAACGACUUUGUCUUUGUUUGAAUUUGUCUGUUGUCAAAUGUUAAGGGUGAGUCUAGUUUGUCUAAUGAGUUCAUAAAGUCUUGUGGUGAGUCCUUUAGUAAUGAGUGUUGUCUGAAGUCAUAAGGUAAUAUUUCUCAUCACUUUUAUUAUCUCAAUUUUUUGCAGUAAAUUUCUCUUUGAAAAUCUGCAACAAGAAAUGAUUGUUUAGUAUGUAAGCUUAAAUUACAUUAGACUGACACAGGGAAGUAAAUUAUCCAAGAAAGAGAAGAAUCAUACUUUGUUCCUUUUUCUUUAUUAACCUCAUCUGACAAUUAAAAAAACAAUAAUGUUCAUA